RNAcentral lists this ribosomal RNA (663 nucleotides) under Enterobacter hormaechei. Its description in RNAcentral is "partial 23S ribosomal RNA". It matches the Rfam family "Bacterial large subunit ribosomal RNA", at positions 162 to 867 of the family's 2925-position model. RNAcentral also lists the same sequence under 2 other names. The record is from RNAcentral. Lineage: Bacteria; Pseudomonadati; Pseudomonadota; Gammaproteobacteria; Enterobacterales; Enterobacteriaceae.
AUACAUAGGUUAACGAGGCGAACCGGGGGAACUGAAACAUCUAAGUACCCCGAGGAAAAGAAAUCAACCGAGAUUCCCCCAGUAGCGGCGAGCGAACGGGGAGCAGCCCGGAGUCUGAAUCAGCUUGUGUGUUAGUGGAACGGUCUGGAAAGUCCGACGGUACAGGGUGAUAGUCCCGUACACGAAAGCACACUUGCUGUGAACUCGAAGAGUAGGGCGGGACACGUGGUAUCCUGUCUGAAUAUGGGGGGACCAUCCUCCAAGGCUAAAUACUCCUGACUGACCGAUAGUGAACCAGUACCGUGAGGGAAAGGCGAAAAGAACCCCGGCGAGGGGAGUGAAAAAGAACCUGAAACCGUGUACGUACAAGCAGUGGGAGCCUCUUUAUGGGGUGACUGCGUACCUUUUGUAUAAUGGGUCAGCGACUUAUAUUCUGUAGCAAGGUUAACCGUAUAGGGGAGCCGAAGGGAAACCGAGUCUUAACUGGGCGUUAAGUUGCAGGGUAUAGACCCGAAACCCGGUGAUCUAGCCAUGGGCAGGUUGAAGGUUGGGUAACACUAACUGGAGGACCGAACCGACUAAUGUUGAAAAAUUAGCGGAUGACCUGUGGCUGGGGGUGAAAGGCCAAUCAAACCGGGAGAUAGCUGGUUCUCCCCGAAAGCU